UCGGUAGCUCAGUUGGUAGAGCAUACGAUUGAAGCUCGUAGUGUCGGGGGUUCGAUUCCCUCCCGCGCC
RNAcentral lists this transfer RNA (69 nucleotides) under Weissella confusa. It matches the Rfam family "tRNA", at positions 5 to 66 of the family's 71-position model. From Rfam's summary of the family: Transfer RNA (tRNA) molecules are approximately 80 nucleotides in length. The record is from RNAcentral. Lineage: Bacteria; Bacillati; Bacillota; Bacilli; Lactobacillales; Lactobacillaceae.